RNAcentral lists this long non-coding RNA (247 nucleotides) under Elaeis guineensis (African oil palm). Its description in RNAcentral is "long non-coding RNA (EGUI_LNC009328)". The record is from RNAcentral. Lineage: Eukaryota; Viridiplantae; Streptophyta; Magnoliopsida; Arecales; Arecaceae.
AAUUAUAAAAAUCGGUUGUCUUAAUUGUCAAGCCAGAAUAUGGACCUCAUCCUAAUCUAUGAGAGCUAUCUUCACCUGGUAUUGGGAUAGAAAAAAAUUCUACUUGCUUACCCCAUGAAAAUCUAAGGGAUAAAGAAUUCUAUCUCCUUUCUCCCUUGACAAACAGAUCCUUUGCCAAAAGCCCUUGUAAUGAAAUAGUAUCUACAUGAGUAGGCCACCAAGCUAAAAAGAUAUAGAAGAUAACCAA